UACGUAGGGGGCAAGCGUUGUCCGGAAUCAUUGGGCGUAAAGAGCGUGUAGGCGGCCAGAUAAGUCCGCUGUGAAAUCUCGAGGCUCAACUUCGAGCUGUCGGUGGAAACUGUCUGGCUAGAGUCCGGAAGAGGAGAAUGGAAUUCCUGGUGUAGCGGUGAAAUGCGCAGAUAUCGGGAGGAACACCAAUGGCGAAGGCAGCUCUCUGGGACGGUACUGACGCUGAGACGCGAAAGCGUGGGGAGCGAACAGG
RNAcentral lists this ribosomal RNA (253 nucleotides) under uncultured bacterium. RNAcentral's name for it is "partial 16S ribosomal RNA". It matches the Rfam family "Bacterial small subunit ribosomal RNA", at positions 524 to 776 of the family's 1533-position model. The record is from RNAcentral.